UAAGACUAACAAGGAUUCCCCUAGUAACGGCGAGUGAAGAGGGAAGAGCCCAAGAUUGAAAGCUGGCGUCUUCGGCGUCCGCAUUGUAAUCUCAAGAAGUGUUUUCCGCUUCGGACCAUGCCUAAGUCCCUUGGAAAAGGGCAUCAUAGAGGGUGAUAAUCCCGUACAUGGCAUGGAGCGCCCGAAGCUUUGUGAUACGCUUUCUAAGAGUCGAGUUGUUUGGGAAUGCAGCUCAAAAUGGGUGGUAAAUGCCAUCUAAGGCUAAAUAUUGGGGAGAGACCGAUAGCGAACAAGUACAGUGAUGGAAAGAUGAAAAGAACUUUGAAAAGAGAGUUAAACAGUACGUGAAAUUGCCAAAAGGGAAGGGUAGGAGGUCAGAGAUGCGGCCUGGGAUUCAGCCUUGCUUUUUGCUUGGUGUUUUUCCCAGGUGGCAGGCCAACGUCGGUUUUGGGCACUGGAGAAGGGUGGGAGGAAUGUGGCACCUCUCGGGGUGUGUUAUAGCCUCCUACUGGAUACAGCGACCGAGACCGAGGACAGCAGCGUACUCGCAAGAGCGGGCCUUCGGGCACCUUUACGCUUAGGGUCGUUGGCAUAAUGGCCCUCUACCACCC
Molecule: ribosomal RNA, 611 nt
Filed under: Triodiomyces crassus
Lineage: Eukaryota; Fungi; Basidiomycota; Ustilaginomycetes; Ustilaginales; Ustilaginaceae
Description: LSU rRNA
Rfam family: Eukaryotic large subunit ribosomal RNA
Source: RNAcentral